CCUACGGGGGGCAGCAGUGAGGAAUAUUGGUCAAUGGACGAGAGUCUGAACCAGCCAAGUAGCGUGAAGGAUGACUGCCCUAUGGGUUGUAAACUUCUUUUAUAAAGGAAUAAAACGAGGCACGUGUGCCUUGUUGCAUGUACUUUAUGAAUAAGGAUCGGCUAACUCCGUGCCAGCAGCCGCGGUAAUACGGAGGAUCCGAGCGUUAUCCGGAUUUAUUGGGUUUAAAGGGAGCGUAGAUGGGUUGUUAAGUCAGUUGUGAAAGGUUGCGGCUCAACCGUAAAAUUGCAAUUGAUACUGGCAGUCUUGAGUACAGUUGAGGUAGGCGGAAUUCGUGGUGUAGCGGUGAAAUGCUUAGAUAUCACGAAGAACCCCGAUUGCGAAGGCAGCUUACUAAACUGUGACUGACAUUGCUGCUCGAACGUGUGGGUAUCAAACAGGAUUAGAUACCCCUGUAGUC
This 460-nucleotide ribosomal RNA is filed under the name uncultured bacterium. RNAcentral describes it as "partial 16S ribosomal RNA". It matches the Rfam family "Bacterial small subunit ribosomal RNA", at positions 338 to 795 of the family's 1533-position model. The record is from RNAcentral.